This is a long non-coding RNA of Mustela erminea (ermine), 623 nucleotides long. RefSeq lists it as uncharacterized. The record is from RefSeq and is a predicted model, not a curated record. Lineage: Eukaryota; Metazoa; Chordata; Mammalia; Carnivora; Mustelidae. The transcript is spliced from 5 exons.
GUCUAAUGCGUGCCAGGGUCUGUGGCUCACGUGAAAGCUCCCCUGGACGCGCUGAAGAUAAGCAGCUGCUGCUUCAAGAACCGCAAUUGCUAAAACCAUCAAUAUACAGAUGAAUGGAAGCAGUAAUAGUGGCAUUCCUAGCUUCUCUGUCAAAAUAUACCAGCAGCGGUGAAAGAGAAGGGCAUUGCAGGCAGCUCUGAAGUAACCACCUGGACACAGGCAUGAAAGCAGUGAAGUGUGGAAGGAUGCUGAGGGAAGAAUAUUGUGAAAAUUGAAGUUUAGUCCUUUUCAGUUCCAGGAAUAACCUUUGUUCAAGCUCUUGAUGAAACUCCAGGGGAGUCACAGUGCAGAAGGAAAAGCAGCCCAGAAUUUUCUAGGUCAACUUAUAAUUGAACUCUUCAAAGAAAAUGAAAAUAACAAGAAUGGUUCCUCACAUAGCUAAGACUCAGAUGAAGAUUUUUCUUGCUAAUGUCCCUCAGAACUGUUACGGAAAAUCACUAAACUGGCUUCUGACCAUGUUUUCUGAUAUAGAACAAAAUAUAAUUGACAGUAUUUUCUUUACUGCUGAUGGUGAAAAUAUUGAUGUCUAAAUGUUUAUACUUAGGAAAAAUACGAGAUGAGAG